This 2245-nucleotide ribosomal RNA is filed under the name Maullinia braseltonii. RNAcentral's name for it is "eukaryotic LSU rRNA". It matches the Rfam family "Eukaryotic large subunit ribosomal RNA", at positions 1 to 2297 of the family's 3401-position model. Lineage: Eukaryota; Endomyxa; Phytomyxea; Phagomyxida; Phagomyxidae. The record is from RNAcentral.
UAGACCUCAGAUCAGGCAAGAUCACCCGCUGAAUUUAAGCAUAUAAUUAAGCGGAGGAAAAGAAACUAACAAGGAUUCCCUCAGUAACGGCGAGUGAAGCGGGAAGUGCUCAAACUGAAAAUCCCCAUUCGGGGAAUUGUGGUAUGACGAAACAGGUUCGGUCGAUGUGCGCGGUGUAAGUUCUUUGGAACAUGACACGAUACAGGGUGAGAGUCCCGUCUAUCGCCGCAWGUCACACGAUAAACGAGCRGUUAUCGAUGAGUCGGGUUGCUUGGUCGUGCAGCCCUAAGUGGGUGGUAAAUUCCAUCUAAAGCUAAAUAUAGGCGAGAGACCGAUAGCGAAGAAGUACCGUGAGGGAAAGAUGAAAAGAACUUUGAAAAGAGAGUGAAAAAGUACUUGAAAUUGCUGCGGCGUAAGGGAUGACGGUUGGUAUGUGUAGCGUUGUAUUUACUGUCAUCAUGCAUAAGUAUGGUGCGGGUCCUGCAACGUGGCCAUGUGCGUGUGGGUUCGUACUCGUUCGGUWGAUGAGUGAGCUCUUUUCAGACGAACUUCAUUGAAAGAGCGUGUGCGGAUUGAGGAUAAAUGUUUGGGUUCUGACGAGRAUGUGCCUGUAUGUGGAGAACAACGUUCUGUGUGUACACUAAAGUUUUCGUUUCCCACGAUUAUUGACAUGCACGAGACGACCGUGAUUCACCCGUCUUGAAACACGGACCAAGGAGUCUAAGAUGUACGCGAGUUGGUUGGUGCGAAACCGACUGGCGCAAUGAAAGUAAUAUUUCGUAUCGGGCCAUCAGUGAAUGUGAGCCGGAGCGUAUAUGUUGGGACCCGAAAGAUGGUGAACUAUGCCUGAGCAAGGUGAAGCCAGGGGAAACUCUGGUGGAGGCCUGAAGCGAUACUGACGUGCAAAUCGUUCGUCUGACUUGGGUAUAGGGGCGAAAGACUAAUCGAACCAUCUAGUAGCUGGUUCCCUCCGAAGUUUCCCUCAGGAUAGCUGGAAUUGAAUACGUAGUUUUAUCCGGUAAAGCUAAUGAUUAGAGGCGUUUGGCGCAAAAUGCACUGAACCUAUUCUCAAACUUUAAAUGGGUAAGAAACGAUGUGUUUCUUAACGUUGAACCGUCGUAGUCGUGAAUACCAAUUCUUCGUGGGCCAUUUUUGGUAAGCAGAACUGGCGAUGCGGGAUGAUCCGGACGCUGAGUUAAGGUGCCUAAUUGCUCGCUCAUGUGGAUUCCAGGAAAGGUGUUGCCUCAUUUAGACAGCAGGACGGUGGCCAUGGAAGUCGGAAUCCGCUAAGGAGUGUGUAACAACUCACCUGCCGAAUGAAGUAGCCCUGAAAAUGGAUGGCGCUAAAGCGUGCRACCGAAACUCGGCCGUUUCGACAAAGYMAAGUUGAAACGAGUAGGAGGGCGUGGCGGUACUUGUGAAUCUUUUGGCGUAAGCCUGAGUGAAGGUGCCGCUAGUGCAGAUCUUGGUGGUAGUAGCAACUAUUCAAAUGUGAACUUUGAAGACUGAAGUGGAGCAAGGUUCCGUGUGAACAGUGAUUGGACACGGGUGAGUCGAUCCUAAUUGCGAACGUAUGGUUUUGCUAGCGAGAAAGGGAAUCAGGUUAAGAUUCCUGAACCUGUGCUACACUUUGCGUUGGCAACAAACGACGAUUUGGAGACGUUAGCGCGAGCCCUGGAGAGAGUUAUCUGUUCUUGUUAACCGUUUGUGGUUGUGCCCGGAAACUAGUUGUUAGGAGAUGGGGAUGAGCAACGGGUAAAGCACGUCGCUUUUGGCGUGUCCGGUGCGCUUGCGUUAGCCCUUGAAAAUCCAAAUCGUGUGUUCGGUGUAGCAGGUCGUACUGUAAACCGCAUCAGGUCUCCAAGGUGAACAGCCUCUAGUUUGUAGAAGAAGGUAGGUAAGGGAAGUCGGCAAAAUGGGUCCGUAACUUUGGGAAAAGGACUGGCUCUAAGGGUUGCGUGCGUAUUUGUGUGUGAGUGYUGGACCAGAUAUGUGGCGGUCUAACGAUUGUUGCACGUCGGUUYGGCCUUGCCUGCAGCGCACGAUUUCAACCGACUUAGAACUGGAGCGGACAAGGGGAAUCCGACUGUUUAAUUAAAACAAAGCAUUGCGAUGGUUUCAAGUAAAUGUUGACGCAAUGUGAUUUCUGCCCAGUGCUCUGAAUGUCAAGGUGAAGAAAUUCGCAGAAGCGCGGGUAAACGGCGGGAGUAACUAUGACUCUCUUAAGGUAGCCAAAUGCCUCGUC